This 253-nucleotide ribosomal RNA is filed under the name uncultured bacterium. RNAcentral describes it as "partial 16S ribosomal RNA". It matches the Rfam family "Bacterial small subunit ribosomal RNA", at positions 524 to 776 of the family's 1533-position model. The record is from RNAcentral.
UACGUAGGGUGCGAGCGUUAAUCGGAAUUACUGGGCGUAAAGCGUGCGCAGGCGGGCUUUUAAGCCAGACGUGAAAUCCCCGGGCUUAACCUGGGAAUGGCGUUUGGGACUGGGAGUCUGGAGUGCGGCAGAGGAGACUGGAAUUCCUGGUGUAGCAGUGAAAUGCGUAGAUAUCAGGAGGAACACCGAUGGCGAAGGCAGGUCUCUGGGCAUUAACUGACGCUGAGGAGCGAAAGCAUGGGGAGCGAACAGG